AACGAACUCUGGUAUUGAUUGGUGCUUGCAUCAUGAUUUACAUUUGAGUGAGUGGCGAACUGGUGAGUAACACGUGGGAAACCUGCCCAGAAGCGGGGGAUAACACCUGGAAACAGAUGCUAAUACCGCAUAACAACUUGGACCGCAUGGUCCGAGNUUGAAAGAUGGCUUCGGCUAUCACUUUUGGAUGGUCCCGCGGCGUAUUAGCUAGAUGGUGGGGUAACGGCUCACCAUGGCAAUGAUACGUAGCCGACCUGAGAGGGUAAUCGGCCACAUUGGGACUGAGACACGGCCCAAACUCCUACGGGAGGCAGCAGUAGGGAAUCUUCCACAAUGGACGAAAGUCUGAUGGAGCAACGCCGCNGUGAGUGAAGAAGGGUUUCGGCUCGUAAAACUCUGUUGUUAAAGAAGAACAUAUCUGAGAGUAACUGUUCAGGUAUUGACGGUAUU
Molecule: ribosomal RNA, 450 nt
Filed under: Lactiplantibacillus plantarum
Lineage: Bacteria; Bacillati; Bacillota; Bacilli; Lactobacillales; Lactobacillaceae
Description: bacterial SSU rRNA
Rfam family: Bacterial small subunit ribosomal RNA
Source: RNAcentral